CCAGACUCCUACGGGAGGCAGCAGUGAGGAAUCUUCCACAAUGGGCGAAAGCCUGAUGGAGCAACGCCGCGUGCAGGAUGAAGGCCUUCGGGUUGUAAACUGCUUUUAUAAGUGAGGAAUAUGACGGUAACUUAUGAAUAAGGAUCGGCUAACUACGUGCCAGCAGCCGCGGUCAUACGUAGGAUCCGAGCGUUAUCCGGAGUGACUGGGCGUAAAGAGUUGCGUAGGCGGUUUGUUAAGCGAAUAGUGAAACCUGGUGGCUCAACCAUACAGACUAUUAUUCGAACUGGCAAACUCGAGAGUGGUAGAGGUCACUGGAAUUUCUUGUGUAGGAGUGAAAUCCGUAGAUAUAAGAAGGAACACCAAUGGCGUAGGCAGGUGACUAGACCAUUUCUGACGCUAAGGCACGAAAGCGUGGGGAGCGAACCGGAUUAGAUACCCGGGUAGUCCACGCCGUAAACGAUGGAUACUAGCUGUUGGAGGUAUCGACCCCUUCAGUAGCGAAGCUAACGCGUUAAGUAUCCCGCCUGUGGAGUACGGCCGCAAGGCUAAAACAUAAAGGAAUUGACGGGGGCCCGCACAAG
Molecule: ribosomal RNA, 584 nt
Filed under: uncultured bacterium
Lineage: Bacteria
Description: bacterial SSU rRNA
Rfam family: Bacterial small subunit ribosomal RNA
Source: RNAcentral